RNAcentral lists this long non-coding RNA (222 nucleotides) under Phoenix dactylifera (date palm). Its description in RNAcentral is "long non-coding RNA (PDAC_LNC021735)". Lineage: Eukaryota; Viridiplantae; Streptophyta; Magnoliopsida; Arecales; Arecaceae. The record is from RNAcentral.
UCGAGGAUGCAUCUCCUCCUCUGGAGGAUGUGGCUCCUCCUCUCGAGGAUGUGGCACCUCCUCUCGAGGAUGGUGCUCCUCCUCUCAAUCGGCUCUGCUCCAUGAGGAGGGUGACUGCAUCUGUCACAUGUCCGAGCUGCGUGAUAAUAGACGUGGUGGCUCUGCUAUGUGUAGUGGAGAGCUCUGUCACCGACGCCUGAAGCCCAGUCACCGAUGUCUGUA